UACGUAGGGUGCAAGCGUUGUCCGGAAUUAUUGGGCGUAAAGAGCUCGUAGGCGGUUUGUCGCGUCUGCUGUGAAAACCCGAGGCUCAACCUCGGGCCUGCAGUGGGUACGGGCAGACUAGAGUGCGGUAGGGGAGAUUGGAAUUCCUGGUGUAGCGGUGGAAUGCGCAGAUAUCAGGAGGAACACCGGAUGGCGAAGGGCAGAUCUCUGGGCCGUUACUGGACGCUGAGGAGCGAAAGCGUGGGGAGCGAACAGG
RNAcentral lists this ribosomal RNA (256 nucleotides) under uncultured bacterium. RNAcentral's name for it is "partial 16S ribosomal RNA". It matches the Rfam family "Bacterial small subunit ribosomal RNA", at positions 524 to 776 of the family's 1533-position model. The record is from RNAcentral.